AUAAACACCGUCUUUGAAAUUGAAGCAAUUUAAUUAAUUUCUUUUUCCCUCAUGAAGUCGUAUACCCUAGCCCUCGUCUGAGUUGCUUCCUUUGUCCCUCUUCGUCUUAGUCGAUUGUCUCCAUAGGCUUUCCAGCACCUCUUUGUACUACCUUUUCUCCCUCUUCGUCAUAAUCGAUCAUCGUGAAGGCUUUCCAGCACCUCUGUGGUUCUCGCGCGUGGUUGACUACCGUCUUCACUCCUCGUCUUCGAUCAAGUGAUGGUGAACCCUAAUCGUAGUAUCCUGUGAGCGUUCCUAUUUGGUUUGUCUCCUCUUCUUCGAUUUGUCAACAUCACAGUAAGCCAAUGGUUCGAUCUUGCAUUUUAAUCUCUUUUCGAUUUGUCUCACCUCGCCGUCAUUGGGUCACUACUUACUAUGGAGGCCAUGUAAGUAGUUCUUUCUCUCUACUCAAUUGCGACAUUCAUAUGGAUAUUAUUCAUUCCGCAACAUACCUUUUGUAUAUUAAUUAUAACUUUUAGAAGUUUUUGUACUCAGCAUUGGGUAAAAUAUUCAUUCAUUUUCUUUCAAUAAGAUAUUCAUUUUGCAAAUUAAAGUGGUUCACGAACCUUACCUGAGGCUCUCCUUCGGUGCUCUUGAAAACAUGGGAAAACAGAGCACACAAUUCUCUGCCCUCAACUACAUCCACCUUGCACUUGAUUUGGAUGCUAUUUUUUUUAUCAGCCAGAAAUGCUUGGAGAGCCCAUAGCAACUCUGCGUUUGCUGCACUAUGAAGGUUUGGCUCACUGCAGCAAGUUGUGUAACCAAGGAUAUCAAAGAGCUUGGGUUUAGGAGAAAAUAUCUGGUUCAGGGAAGCCACGGGUUCAAAAUCAGACUACUGGUUUUAUUGCAGUCAACAACUUGUUUUGUGUGGUGUGGUGACACGCAUAUAUGAUGCAGAGUUGGAGAAAAUUGAAGGGAGUGGGAAACUACUAUUAUUUUUAUUUCUUUUUCACUUCCUCUUGUAUUCAAUGAAAAUAUAUACGUUUUCAUUUUAUUAAAUUUUUUGAAAAAAAUUGUUAUUAAUUUUAAAAAGUUACCUUUUAAAUUAUUCUUAAAUUAAUUAUUAUAAAAAUCAUCAUCUUAAUGACACACACAUUACCUUUUUAAUAGUAAUAGAAUUAAUUGUGAUAGAAUUAUCUUUUGAAUUUAAAUUAAUGACAACACAAGUUAUUCUUUUUAAUUGUAACCAAA
Molecule: long non-coding RNA, 1230 nt
Organism: Glycine soja
Lineage: Eukaryota; Viridiplantae; Streptophyta; Magnoliopsida; Fabales; Fabaceae
Exons: 4
Source: RefSeq, a predicted model, not a curated record